RNAcentral lists this ribosomal RNA (468 nucleotides) under uncultured bacterium. Its description in RNAcentral is "partial 16S ribosomal RNA". It matches the Rfam family "Bacterial small subunit ribosomal RNA", at positions 28 to 507 of the family's 1533-position model. The record is from RNAcentral.
GACGAACGCUGGCGGCGUGCUUAACACAUGCAAGUCGAACGGAAAGGCCCUGCUUUUGUGGGGUGCUCGAGUGGCGAACGGGUGAGUAACACGUGAGUAACCUGCCCUUGACUUUGAGAUAACUUCAGGAAACUGGGGCUAAUACCGGAUAGGAGCUCCUGCUGCAUGGUGGGGGUUGGAAAGUUUCGGCGGUUGGGGAUGGACUCGCGGCUUAUCAGCUUGUUGGUGAGGUAGUGGCUUACCAAGGCUUUGACGGGUAGCCGGCCUGAGAGGGUGACCGGCCACAUUGGGACUGAGAUACGGCCCAGACUCCUACGGGAGGCAGCAGCGGGGAAUAUUGCACAAUGGGCGGAAGCCUGAUGCAGCAACGCCGCGUGCGGGAUGACGGCCUUCGGGUUGUAAACCGCUUUCGCCUGUGACGAAGCGUGAGUGACGGUAAUGGGUAAAGAAGCACCGGCUAACUACGUG